UUGAAAAACAACUACCCAUUUCCCCUUUACUCGUCAUCUUCCCCUUUCCUUUACCCAUUUCUGAUGGCGGUACCCUCCUUGUGUACCCAGCUGCAAAAAAUUUCUUUUAUCAAUCAUAAUCAAAACCCACCAUCUCCAAUCUAAAAUCCCUGCGGCUGUUACCCACAAAACUCUAGUUCUCCAAUCUGAAGAAGUGCAACAAGAAGAAAAUAAAAAGAAUGGAGGAAGAAGUUGAAAAUGCAGUAAAUGGAUUUUAGUGUUUUGAUUUUGGAAAUCCCCAAUCAUUUGCAAUUCCGCAUCUAACUCGGUUAGAUAUGAAAAAACUGAAAAGUUAUGAUCUGAAGUGGUGGUCAUUUGGGGCUCAUGGAUCUGGGGUUUCGGAUCUCAACGGAUGCUGGGGUUGGGGUUUGGAAGUGGGAUUCGUUCGGAUAUGAGGUUCUUAAAUCAGAUCUUGAAUAUGCCGAUAUCUGGGUUUGGUUUUGAUUCCGGUGGUAUACUUGUUUGUGUUGGUGAAGUCAUAUGUUUCGUCAGUGGAGCAGUCUAACAGGACUUCAAAGUGCUAUCAUUAAGAAAACAGGUACCUCCUGCUCCACCACCUAUUAAUUUUGAAUUUCAUGAUUUGGUGUUUUGAAUUUUGAAUCCCAAACAGAUCUAUUAAUUGUUUGCUUGGAUUUGAAUGUGUUGGCUGGUUUGGGCUCCCCUAUAGAUGAUUUGCUUACUGGUGGAUUUUAUUUCAUCGCCGGAUUUUUUGGGAGUCUAUGCCGAAGUUUGGCCAGAAGCUAUGUUGUCAAGAGGUUUUGCCGGAGUCUUGUCGGUGGAAAUUUCUGGAUUUUUAGGGUGUGUUUGUUUUGGACUGAAUAGGACUGAAUGAACCAAGAACUGAGCGAAUCAGCCAUUAAGGCUGUUUGUUUACAAGUUUUGAAAUCUGAAUAGAGCUUAAUGGAUCUGAGCGAUUCUUUGAAAAAAAGUUGGCUGAAUCGGCUGAACAUAUCUGAAUAAUGUUUUUUACCCAAAUAGCCAUGACUUCUCUCCACCGCCGCUCUCUCUUCUUCAUUUACUAGCAGCAAAGGUUGAAUCUGAGGAAACUGAAGCUAUCAAAAUAGUUUUAGUUGACGCAAAUUCCAAAAAGAUAAGAACAUCUGGACCGUUGUCAUCAAUAAAAAUAGAAAUUGUUGCUCUUGAUGGUGAUUUUAUUUGUGGCGUAAAGGAUUUAACCGUUUGGCAUAUCUGUUUCUUUUUAUGGUGCUUUUGCUACUACUGCUAAUAUGUUGAUAUAUGAAAGGCUAUGAUGAUAAAUGUUUGUAGGAAUUUCUUAAGCAAAUCAGGGCCUGUGGAUCUGGCCCGUAUCUUGGCGGGACAACAAAUCAGAUGGCAUUUCAGAUGCAACUGUUGUUGUUGCAGCCAUGGCGGUGCUACACCCUCUGUCCUGAUCAUGUACAGAUCUAAGCCUCACCUUUCCAAGUAAAAUUUUAUUUUUAAUUAUAAUGACAAAAUGGACUACGACUUUUAAUAGAUUUAACAAAAGUUUUUGCUUUUCAUUCUUUGUAUUUGUUUUUUUAUAAAUAAAUGAGUAAAGUUCAGAUCACCACCUAAGGUUUGGGGUCUUUCCCACUUAACCACCUGUAGUCAGUAAAACUACAUUUAAACUCCCGACUUUUUGAGUUGAAGUGAAAACGUCACCUUUUCCAUCCAACUUAACCGUACGUGUAUGUCAAACGCCAAAAGCGCGUGAAAAGGGGCUAUAACGGUCAAAAAAGACUGAUAAAUGUCUGAAAUACCCCCUUUUUCUUCCUCUUGUCUGAAUCAUUUUGUUCUACCCCAUUUCAGCUCCAUCGCAGAAGUGAAGUAGCAGACGAAAUUGAAGGCUACUAGCAGACCAAAUUCACAACUAAGGUAUGCACAUCAACUUAUUUCUUCCCUAUUUCAAUCCAAAAGUGAUUUCAAUCUAAGGUAUGCACAUAAACUACAAGUAGAGGAAGUGAUUUCAAUCAAAGGUAUGCAAAUCAUAGUGGUGAGCCUUCCUGGAAGGGCAAAAGACGACAACCAAACCAGAAAUUCAUUUUCAUCCAAAAUCCAAAAAAGGCCCCUUCCUCACCCCUUCUCAAGCUGCUCAACUAUUGUUGGCUUCGUAUUUCUUGUCCUCGACCCAUUUCGCCAAAUUAAUCAAACGGCCCUCUAAAUCAGCCUCUGAUUUUCCUACAUAGCAUGCUGGAACAAAAAGAAAAACGACAUGGAAACAAAGAAUCAAACUCAGAAACUAAGAAUCAAACCCAUCCUAAUUCAUCUUCUUUCAAACCAUCAUCAUCUUCUUCACAAUCAGUUAUGGGUUAACUAAUUACUAACCCACCAUCCAUCUUCUUCCUUAAAUGCACCAGAUCUGAAGUAUUUGUUUUUCAAAAAAUAUUUGAAAAAUCAAACCCAACAAAUUAGUGUAGAUAAGAGAGAAAAGGAGAAAUGCAAAUAAGAGAGAGAAGAAGUGUAGAUACAAACCAAACAAACUAUUCGAGAAAAAACCCCAGCAAACUAGAGUAGAUAACUAGAUACAUGUAGAGAGAGACAAGAUCUUAUAGCUCUUGAAUUUCUGGUGGUGGGUGAACUUACCCAGCUUUUUAGUUCAAAAAUGUAAAAGAAAGAAGAAUUGGAUAGUAACAUGUCGCAGCAGCACAGUGUAAGAUUACACAGAUGGAGGCGGUGGAAACACACUAAUACUGAUGGUAUUGUUGUUGAUGAUAAUAAAUAAGAAGAUAUAAUAAAGAAAAAAAAUGUAUGAUAAAAAUUGAGUUGGAAACUUUGUUAUAUUUUAAAUUAUUAUUAAGAUUGCCAUGUAACUAAUGUUUUAUUCUUUUAAAAAGAAAAAGAAAGUGUUAUCGAUAUACGAAAUGAAGCAGCGUGCUUAAGAUCAACCACUUGGAGAAAGCAGUCGUCAUCUAUGGAGGGUAAUUAAGUCUUUAGCCAAAUCAAGUAACGGAGUUAAGACGGAAAGCAUUUAUUCACUUCAACUCAAAAAGUCGAGAGUUUAAAUGUCACUUUACUGACUACAGAUGGUUAAGUGGGAAAGACCCCAAACCCCAGGUGGUGAUCUGAACUUUACUCUAAAUAAAUAUUGCAUUUAAUUUUUUUAAUAUGUUCAAAAAAAAUUUAUAUUUGUUCAAGGGGUAAAAUAGUAAAAAAAUGUUAUUCAGAUGUUUUAGACAUAUCAAUUAUCAAACAACUUUUUUCAUUAAGAUUCAGAUUCAGAUCAUUCAGAUUCAACUCAUUCAAAUUCAGAUUCAGAUUCAGAUUCAUUCAGUUUUUAUCAAACAGCCCCUUGGUUUUAUAAUUCAUUGUUUGUUUGAAGAAAUGAGUAGUUAAUUUGUUUAGUUUUAAU
RNAcentral lists this long non-coding RNA (3367 nucleotides) under Panax ginseng (ginseng). RNAcentral's name for it is "long non-coding RNA (PGIN_LNC016943)". Lineage: Eukaryota; Viridiplantae; Streptophyta; Magnoliopsida; Apiales; Araliaceae. The record is from RNAcentral.